Molecule: ribosomal RNA, 253 nt
Filed under: uncultured bacterium
Lineage: Bacteria
Description: partial 16S ribosomal RNA
Rfam family: Bacterial small subunit ribosomal RNA
Source: RNAcentral
UACGUAGGGUGCAAGCGUUAUUCGGAAUUACUGGGCGUAAAGCGUGCGCAGGCGGUUGUGCAAGACAGAUGUGAAAUCCCCGGGCUCAACCUGGGAACUGCAUUUGUGACUGCAUGGCUGGAGUGCGGCAGAGGGGGAUGGAAUUCCGCGUGUAGCAGUGAAAUGCGUAGAUAUGCGGAGGAACACCGAUGGCGAAGGCAAUCCCCUGGGCCUGCACUGACGCUCAUGCACGAAAGCGUGGGGAGCAAACAGG